CUUGUCCUUCUCGUGGGAGCUGAGGUCCAGCAGCACGUGCAGGUACUGGAACUGCCGCGACGGCCGCUUGAAGAUCAGGUCCCGCAAGGUGGACAUGCCCAGGUAGGUGCGGCUCUGGGGGGGAGGGGACAGCGGGGUCACCUCCAGGGGACACCUGGAGGGGUCACCUGGAGGGGUCACCUGGAGGGGUCACCUGGAGGGGUCAGCUCCAGGGGUCACCUGGAGAGGUCACCUGGAGGGGUCAGCUCCAGGGGUCACCUUCUCAUGUCACCUCCUCACAUCACCUGGAGAGGUCACCUGGAGAGGUCACCUCCCUGUGUCACCUCCUUGUGUCAUCUCCCUUGUGUCACCUCCCUUUGUCACCUCCAGGGGACACCUGGAGAGGUCACCUGGAGAGGUCACCUCCUUGUGUCACCUCCAUGUGUCUCUUUAUGUCACCUCCCUAUGUCACCUCUCCGUGUCACCUCCCCGUGUCACCUCCCCGUGUCACCUCCUCAUGUCACCUCCAGGUGUCACCUCCAUGUGUCUCUUUAUGUCACCUCCCCACGUCACCUCCCCAUGUCACCUCCUCAUGUCACCUCCAUGUAUCACCUCCUCGUGUCACCUCCCCGUGCCAUCUCCAGGUGUCACCUCCCUAUGCCACCUCCAUGUGUCUCUUUAUGUCACCUCCCCAUGUCACCUCCAUGUGUCACCUCCAGGUAUCACCUCCCCGUGCCAUCUCCAGGUGUCACCUCCCCAUGUCACCUCCAGGUGUCACCUCCCCAUGUCACCUCCAUGUGUCACCUCCAGGUAUCACCUCCCCAUGUCACCUCCAGGUGUCACCUCCCCGUGUCACCUCCAUGUGUCUCUUUGUGUCACCUCCCCAUGCCAUCUCCAGGUGUCACCUCCAUGUGUCUCUUUGUGUCACCUCCACAUGUCACCUCCCUGUGUCACCUCCAUGUGUCACCUCCAUGUGUCACCUCCCCGUGUCACCUCCAGGUGUCAUCUCCAGGUGUCACCUCCCCGUGUCACCUCCAUGUGUCACCUCCCCGUGCCAUCUCCAGGUGUCACCUCCAGGUGUCACCUCCCCAUGCCAUCUCCAGGUGUCACCUCCCCGUGUCACCUCCAGGUGUCAUCUCCAGGUGUCACCUCCCCGUGUCACCUCCAGGUGUCCCCUCCCCACCCGUGUCCCCUG
Molecule: long non-coding RNA, 1174 nt
Filed under: Cyanistes caeruleus (blue tit)
Lineage: Eukaryota; Metazoa; Chordata; Aves; Passeriformes; Paridae
Description: lncRNA (ENSCCEG00000004210.1)
Source: RNAcentral